RNAcentral lists this ribosomal RNA (497 nucleotides) under uncultured bacterium. Its description in RNAcentral is "partial 16S ribosomal RNA". It matches the Rfam family "Bacterial small subunit ribosomal RNA", at positions 28 to 507 of the family's 1533-position model. The record is from RNAcentral.
GAUGAACGCUGGCGGCGUGCCUAAUACAUGCCAGUCGAGCGAACAGAUGAGGAGCUUGCUCCUCUGACGUUAGCGGCGGACGGGUGAGUAACACGUGGAUAACCUACCUAUAAUACUGGGAUAACUACGGGAAACCGGAGCUAAUACCGGAUAAUAUAUUGAACCGCAUGGUUCAAUAGUGAAAGACGGCUUUGCUGUCACUUAUAGAUGGAUCCGCGCCGCAUUAGCUAGUUGGUAAGGUAACGGCUUACCAAGGCAACGAUGCGUAGCCGACCUGAGAGGAUGAUCGGCCACACUGGAACUGAGACACGGUCCAGACUCCUACGGGAGGCAGCAGUAGGGAAUCUUCCGCAAUGGGCGAAAGCCUGACGGAGCAACGCCGCGUGAGUGAUGAAGGUCUUCGGGUCGUAAAACUCUGUUAUUAGGGAAGAAAAGAUGUGUAAGUAACUAUGCACGUCUUGACGGUACCUAAUCAGAAAGCCACGGCUAACUACGUG